This 25-nucleotide non-coding RNA is filed under the name Mus musculus (house mouse). The record is from RNAcentral. RNAcentral also lists the same sequence under 1 other name. Lineage: Eukaryota; Metazoa; Chordata; Mammalia; Rodentia; Muridae.
UGUACUGAUGUGGUGACUUCUCUGC